Molecule: ribosomal RNA, 1489 nt
Filed under: Escherichia coli
Lineage: Bacteria; Pseudomonadati; Pseudomonadota; Gammaproteobacteria; Enterobacterales; Enterobacteriaceae
Description: partial 23S ribosomal RNA
Rfam family: Bacterial large subunit ribosomal RNA
Source: RNAcentral
GGGUUGUGAGGUUAAGCGACUAAGCGUACACGGUGGAUGCCCUGGCAGUCAGAGGCGAUGAAGGACGUGCUAAUCUGCGAUAAGCGUCGGUAAGGUGAUAUGAACCGUUAUAACCGGCGAUUUCCGAAUGGGGAAACCCAGUGUGUUUCGACACACUAUCAUUAACUGAAUCCAUAGGUUAAUGAGGCGAACCGGGGGAACUGAAACAUCUAAGUACCCCGAGGAAAAGAAAUCAACCGAGAUUCCCCCAGUAGCGGCGAGCGAACGGGGAGCAGCCCAGAGCCUGAAUCAGUGUGUGUGUUAGUGGAAGCGUCUGGAAAGGCGCGCGAUACAGGGUGACAGCCCCGUACACAAAAAUGCACAUGCUGUGAGCUCGAUGAGUAGGGCGGGACACGUGGUAUCCUGUCUGAAUAUGGGGGGACCAUCCUCCAAGGCUAAAUACUCCUGACUGACCGAUAGUGAACCAGUACCGUGAGGGAAAGGCGAAAAGAACCCCGGCGAGGGGAGUGAAAAAGAACCUGAAACCGUGUACGUACAAGCAGUGGGAGCCUCUUUAUGGGGUGACUGCGUACCUUUUGUAUAAUGGGUCAGCGACUUAUAUUCUGUAGCAAGGUUAACCGAAUAGGGGAGCCGAAGGGAAACCGAGUCUUAACUGGGCGUUAAGUUGCAGGGUAUAGACCCGAAACCCGGUGAUCUAGCCAUGGGCAGGUUGAAGGUUGGGUAACACUAACUGGAGGACCGAACCGACUAAUGUUGAAAAAUUAGCGGAUGACUUGUGGCUGGGGGUGAAAGGCCAAUCAAACCGGGAGAUAGCUGGUUCUCCCCGAAAGCUAUUUAGGUAGCGCCUCGUGAAUUCAUCUCCGGGGGUAGAGCACUGUUUCGGCAAGGGGGUCAUCCCGACUUACCAACCCGAUGCAAACUGCGAAUACCGGAGAAUGUUAUCACGGGAGACACACGGCGGGUGCUAACGUCCGUCGUGAAGAGGGAAACAACCCAGACCGCCAGCUAAGGUCCCAAAGUCAUGGUUAAGUGGGAAACGAUGUGGGAAGGCCCAGACAGCCAGGAUGUUGGCUUAGAAGCAGCCAUCAUUUAAAGAAAGCGUAAUAGCUCACUGGUCGAGUCGGCCUGCGCGGAAGAUGUAACGGGGCUAAACCAUGCACCGAAGCUGCGGCAGCGACGCUUAUGCGUUGUUGGGUAGGGGAGCGUUCUGUAAGCCUGCGAAGGUGUACUGUGAGGUAUGCUGGAGGUAUCAGAAGUGCGAAUGCUGACAUAAGUAACGAUAAAGCGGGUGAAAAGCCCGCUCGCCGGAAGACCAAGGGUUCCUGUCCAACGUUAAUCGGGGCAGGGUGAGUCGACCCCUAAGGCGAGGCCGAAAGGCGUAGUCGAUGGGAAACAGGUUAAUAUUCCUGUACUUGGUGUUACUGCGAAGGGGGGACGGAGAAGGCUAUGUUGGCCGGGCGACGGUUGUCCCGGUUUAAGCGUGUAGGCU